UCCAACCAACGUUGACGGCAUUGACUGGCAUAGUUAGGAUAAAUCAAGGAAGCAACUAAAAAAUGAGGGAUCAUGUUCUCGACUUGAUCCGAGUGCUGGCCCACUCAUUGGCGGCCAUGAUUUUGAUGUGGUUACAAAGAAGGCACAAAGGGUUUGGUUGGAACUUCAUCCAAGAGGGCCAGGACGAUGGUGGUUGGAA
This 199-nucleotide long non-coding RNA is filed under the name Elaeis guineensis (African oil palm). Its description in RNAcentral is "long non-coding RNA (EGUI_LNC032755)". The record is from RNAcentral. Lineage: Eukaryota; Viridiplantae; Streptophyta; Magnoliopsida; Arecales; Arecaceae.